AUGGUCCUGCCAGUGCGCCGCCGCCCGCCGCCGGUGAACGCCCUCCGCAAGGACUGCCACCGGCCCCUCUGCUUCGGCGCUCCCCGGCCGCUCCCGGCCCUCUGCCUAGUCGCCAGGGACGUGGUGCUCCUCGCCUGCUCCAGCCAGCCCCCCGCGCCGGCUCUGGCGGUCUGCUCCGACCUCUCCCGGUGGUGCUCGCCUGCUCGGGCGGACUCUGCCACCCAGGACUUCCCGUGA
RNAcentral lists this ribosomal RNA (237 nucleotides) under Triticum aestivum (bread wheat). RNAcentral's name for it is "partial small subunit ribosomal RNA". Lineage: Eukaryota; Viridiplantae; Streptophyta; Magnoliopsida; Poales; Poaceae. The record is from RNAcentral.